AGAGUUUGAUCAUGGCUCAGGAUGAACGCUAGCGGCAGGCUUAACACAUGCAAGUCGAGGGGCAGCAUGAGACGGAGAUUCGUCGAAGUCUUGAUGGCGACCGGCGCAAGGGUGCGUAACGCGUGAGCAACUUGCCCGUUUCAGGGGGAUAACCGGUGGAAACGCCGACUAAUACCCCAUGGUAUGUUUUUGAGGCAUCUCUUAAACAUUAAAGAAUUUCGGAAACGGAUAGGCUCGCGUGACAUUAGCUAGAUGGCGGGGUAACGGCCCACCAUGGCGACGAUGUCUAGGGGUUCUGAGAGGAAGGUCCCCCACACUGGAACUGAGACACGGUCCAGACUCCUACGGGAGGCAGCAGUGAGGAAUAUUGGUCAAUGGUCGAGAGGCUGAACCAGCCAUGCCGCGUGAAGGUCACGGCCCUAUGGGUCUUAAACUUCUUUUGUAAGGGAGCGAUAAGUCUCACGUGUGGGAUGAUGAGAGUACCUUACGAAUAAGCAUCGGCUAACUCCGUGCCAGCAGCCGCGGUAAUACGGGGGAUGCAAGCGUUAUCCGGAUUUAUUGGGUUUAAAGGGUGCGUAGGCGGUCUGGUAAGUCAGCGGUGAAAUUCAGGGGCUCAACCUCUGCCGUGCCGUUGAUACUGCUGGACUAGAAUGCGGAUGCCGUGGGAGGAAUGUGUGGUGUAGCGGUGAAAUGCAUAGAUAUCGCACAGAACACCGAUUGCGAAGGCAUCUCACGAAUCCGCGAUUGACGCUGAGGCACGAAAGCGUGGGGAUCAAACAGGAUUAGAUACCCUGGUAGUCC
RNAcentral lists this ribosomal RNA (801 nucleotides) under uncultured bacterium. RNAcentral describes it as "bacterial SSU rRNA". It matches the Rfam family "Bacterial small subunit ribosomal RNA", at positions 8 to 796 of the family's 1533-position model. The record is from RNAcentral.